CGGGUGAGUAACACGUGGAUAACCUACCUAUAAGACUGGGAUAACUUCGGGAAACCGGAGCUAAUACCGGAUAAUAUAUUGAACCGCAUGGUUCAAUAGUGAAAGACGGUUUUGCUGUCACUUAUAGAUGGAUCCGCGCCGCAUUAGCUAAUUGGUAAGGUAACGGCUUACCAAGGCAGCGAUGCGUAGCCGACCUGAGAGGGUGAUCGGCCACACUGGAACUGAGACACGGUCCAGACUCCUACGGGAGGCAGCAGGC
This 259-nucleotide ribosomal RNA is filed under the name uncultured Staphylococcus sp. RNAcentral's name for it is "partial 16S ribosomal RNA". It matches the Rfam family "Bacterial small subunit ribosomal RNA", at positions 103 to 354 of the family's 1533-position model. The record is from RNAcentral. Lineage: Bacteria; Bacillati; Bacillota; Bacilli; Caryophanales; Staphylococcaceae.